Molecule: long non-coding RNA, 361 nt
Filed under: Equus caballus (horse)
Lineage: Eukaryota; Metazoa; Chordata; Mammalia; Perissodactyla; Equidae
Description: lncRNA (ENSECAG00000055764.1)
Source: RNAcentral
AACACGUCAUUCCAUGGCGUUCGCGGGAUGGUCGUGUGUGCAGAUGGAGAAGUGGUGGCACAGUGUUUAGAAAAUAAAAACACUACCCUGGACCCACAGUUCAUGCCACAGUGUCAGUGAGACCCUCUGCUGUGUCGGCGUAUUUUGAGGCCUCAGGUAUAACACAGUGAACGAGACAGAGCCGGCCCUGCCUCGUGAAGCCCACCUCCUAGCAGGAAGCAACGACAAUGAUGCGAGGGACUCGCCACCUCAGUGGGGAGGCUGGGCCUCUUCUUUCCUGGAUGAUUGAUGCCGAAGAUGACCCCUCCCUAUCCAGAGGUCUGUGGUGUCUGCCACUUUAGGUUCAAAAGGGUCACACAGG